CCGGUGGCGGCUGGGCAUGCGGCGCAUUAGCUUGACGGCGGGGUAACGGCCCACCGUGGCGACGAUGCGUAGGGGUUCUGAGAGGAAGGCCCCCCACACUGGAACUGAGACACGGUCCAGACUCCUACGGGAGGCAGCAGUGAGGAAUAUUGGUCAAUGGGCGGAAGCCUGAACCAGCCAAGUCGCGUGAGGGAAUAAGGCCCUACGGGUCGUAAACCUCUUUUGCCGGGGAGCAAGGGCCGGGACGCGUCCCGGCCCGGAGAGUACCCGGAGAAAAAGCAUCGGCUAACUCCGUGCCAGCAGCCGCGGUAAUACGGAGGAUGCGAGCGUUAUCCGGAUUUAUUGGGUUUAAAGGGUGCGUAGGCGGGCUUUUAAGUCAGCGGUAAAAAUUCGGGGCUCAACCCCGUCCGGCCGUUGAAACUGGGGGCCUUGAGUGGGCGAGAAGAAGGCGGAAUGCGUGGUGUAGCGGUGAAAUGCAUAGAUAUCACGCAGAACCCCGAUUGCGAAGGCAGCCUUCCGGCGCCCUACUGACGCUGAGGCACGAAAGUGCGGGGAUCGAACAGGAUUAGAUACCCUGGUAGUCCGCACAGUAA
Molecule: ribosomal RNA, 593 nt
Filed under: uncultured bacterium
Lineage: Bacteria
Description: bacterial SSU rRNA
Rfam family: Bacterial small subunit ribosomal RNA
Source: RNAcentral